RNAcentral lists this ribosomal RNA (441 nucleotides) under uncultured Bacteroidota bacterium. RNAcentral describes it as "bacterial SSU rRNA". It matches the Rfam family "Bacterial small subunit ribosomal RNA", at positions 917 to 1359 of the family's 1533-position model. Lineage: Bacteria; Pseudomonadati; Bacteroidota. The record is from RNAcentral.
GGGCCCGCACAAGCGGAGGAACAUGUGGUUUAAUUCGAUGAUACGCGAGGAACCUUACCCGGGCUUGAAAUGGAGAGGAAUAAUUUGGAAACAGAUUAGUCGCAAGACCUCUUUGUAGGUGCUGCAUGGUUGUCGUCAGCUCGUGCCGUGAGGUGUCGGCUUAAGUGCCAUAACGAGCGCAACCCUUGCCAUUAGUUACCAGCAGUUAGAUGGGGACUCUAAUGGGACUGCCACCGUAAGGUGUGAGGAAGGUGGGGAUGACGUCAAAUCAGCACGGCCCUUACGUCCGGGGCGACACACGUGUUACAAUGGGUAGUACAGAGGGUUGCUACUGCGUGAGCAGAUGCUAAAUCUCUUAAAAACUAUUCUCAGUUCGGAUAGGAGUCUGCAACUCGACUCCUUGAAGCUGGAUUCGCUAGUAAUCGCGCAUCAGCCAUGGCG